Ictidomys tridecemlineatus (thirteen-lined ground squirrel) is the source of this 409-nucleotide non-coding RNA. NCBI's taxonomy places the organism in Eukaryota, Metazoa, Chordata, Mammalia, Rodentia, Sciuridae. The record is from the annotation of a RefSeq genome assembly.
GUUUUGGUGUGUCUCCACCAUGAACUGCAUACCUCUACUAUUCCCACUCCUCUUGCUCUACACAGGCUCUGUGGUCUCCUAUGAGCUGACUCAGCCACCCUCAGUCUCAGUAGCCCCAGGACAGACAGCCACAAUCACCUGCUCUGGAGAUGCAUUGCCUAAAAAAUAUGCACACUGGUUCCAGCAGCAGCACCCAGGACAGAGCCCUCUCCGGGUAAUAUACGAGGAUACUAAGCGACCCUCAGGGAUCCCGGAGAGAUUCUCUGGGUCCAGUUCAGGGACAACAGCCACCCUGACCAUCACCAGAACUCAGACUGAAGAUGAGGCUGUCUAUUACUGUUUAUCAUCAUAUGAUGAUAGCGGUAAUGAAGUUCCCACAGUGACAGAGGCAGAUAGGGAAAAAUUUUGA